GACGAACGCUGGCGGCGUGCCUAAUACAUGCAAGUCGAACGCACUCUCGUUUAGAUUGAAGGAGCUUGCUCCUGAUUGAUAAACAUUUGAGUGAGUGGCGGACGGGUGAGUAACACGUGGGUAACCUGCCCUAAAGUGGGGGAUAACAUUUGGAAACAGAUGCUAAUACCGCAUAAAACCUAAACACCGCAUGGUGUAGGGUUGAAAGAUGGUUUCGGCUAUCACUUUAGGAUGGACCCGCGGUGCAUUAGUUAGUUGGUGAGGUAAAGGCUCACCAAGACCGUGAUGCAUAGCCGACCUGAGAGGGUAAUCGGCCACACUGGGACUGAGACACGGCCCAGACUCCUACGGGAGGCAGCAGUAGGGAAUCUUCCACAAUGGACGAAAGUCUGAUGGAGCAACGCCGCGUGAGUGAAGAAGGUUUUCGGAAUCGGUAAAACUCUAGUUGUUGGAGAAGAACUGUAUCUGAUAGUAACUGAUCAGGUAGUGACGGUAUCCAACC
This 502-nucleotide ribosomal RNA is filed under the name uncultured bacterium. RNAcentral's name for it is "bacterial SSU rRNA". It matches the Rfam family "Bacterial small subunit ribosomal RNA", at positions 28 to 484 of the family's 1533-position model. The record is from RNAcentral.